Molecule: ribosomal RNA, 1556 nt
Filed under: Escherichia coli
Lineage: Bacteria; Pseudomonadati; Pseudomonadota; Gammaproteobacteria; Enterobacterales; Enterobacteriaceae
Description: bacterial SSU rRNA
Rfam family: Bacterial small subunit ribosomal RNA
Source: RNAcentral
UUAAAUUGAAGAGUUUGAUCAUGGCUCAGAUUGAACGCUGGCGGCAGGCCUAACACAUGCAAGUCGAACGGUAACAGGAAGAAGCUUGCUUCUUUGCUGACGAGUGGCGGAUGGGUGAGUAAUGUCUGGGAAACUGCCUGAUGGAGAGGGAUAACUACUGGAAACGGUAGCUAAUACCGCAUAACGUCGCAAGACCAAAGAGGGGGACCUUCGGGCCUCUUGCCAUCGGAUGUGCCCAGAUGGGAUUAGCUAGUAGGUGGGGUAACGGCUCACCUAGGCGACGAUCCCUAGCUGGUCUGAGAGGAUGACCAGCCACACUGGAACUGAGACACGGUCCAGACUCCUACGGGAGGCAGCAGUGGGGAAUAUUGCACAAUGGGCGCAAGCCUGAUGCAGCCAUGCCGCGUGUAUGAAGAAGGCCUUCGGGUUGUAAAGUACUUUCAGCGGGGAGGAAGGGAGUAAAGUUAAUACCUUUGCUCAUUGACGUUACCCGCAGAAGAAGCACCGGCUAACUCCGUGCCAGCAGCCGCGGUAAUACGGAGGGUGCAAGCGUUAAUCGGAAUUACUGGGCGUAAAGCGCACGCAGGCGGUUUGUUAAGUCAGAUGUGAAAUCCCCGGGCUCAACCUGGGAACUGCAUCUGAUACUGGCAAGCUUGAGUCUCGUAGAGGGGGGUAGAAUUCCAGGUGUAGCGGUGAAAUGCGUAGAGAUCUGGAGGAAUACCGGUGGCGAAGGCGGCCCCCUGGACGAAGACUGACGCUCAGGUGCGAAAGCGUGGGGAGCAAACAGGAUUAGAUACCCUGGUAGUCCACGCCGUAAACGAUGUCGACUUGGAGGUUGUGCCCUUGAGGCGUGGCUUCCGGAGCUAACGCGUUAAGUCGACCGCCUGGGGAGUACGGCCGCAAGGUUAAAACUCAAAUGAAUUGACGGGGGCCCGCACAAGCGGUGGAGCAUGUGGUUUAAUUCGAUGCAACGCGAAGAACCUUACCUGGUCUUGACAUCCACAGAACUUUCCAGAGAUGGAUUGGUGCCUUCGGGAACUGUGAGACAGGUGCUGCAUGGCUGUCGUCAGCUCGUGUUGUGAAAUGUUGGGUUAAGUCCCGCAACGAGCGCAACCCUUAUCCUUUGUUGCCAGCGGUCCGGCCGGGAACUCAAAGGAGACUGCCAGUGAUAAACUGGAGGAAGGUGGGGAUGACGUCAAGUCAUCAUGGCCCUUACGACCAGGGCUACACACGUGCUACAAUGGCGCAUACAAAGAGAAGCGACCUCGCGAGAGCAAGCGGACCUCAUAAAGUGCGUCGUAGUCCGGAUUGGAGUCUGCAACUCGAUUCCAUGAAGUCGGAAUCGCUAGUAAUCGUGGAUCAGAAUGCCACGGUGAAUACGUUCCCGGGCCUUGUACACACCGCCCGUCACACCAUGGGAGUGGGUUGCAAAAGAAGUAGGUAGCUUAACCUUCGGGAGGGCGCUUACCACUUUGUGAUUCAUGACUGGGGUGAAGUCGUAACAAGGUAACCGUAGGGGAACCUGCGGUUGGAUCACCUCCUUACCUUAAAGAAGC